GGACAGAUCCUGCCCGGGCUUGCUGGCUCGGGAUGGGUCCUGAUUCUCCCCCAUGCCCUGGGGAUGGCUCAGCUCAGCCAGGCCCUGCCACAAAGCUGCAAACGGGGACAAUCGGGGGACAAUGGGGUCUCUGUGGCAGCCCCGCUGCCUGCCAACGGCCCCGGGAGCACGGCCUGGGAGCGGGGCUGUGUUUGGCAGCCGGGUUUUGUGGGGUUACAUCCUUCAUCCGGGCUGUUUCCUUUCCCAAAGGUGUCCUUGUGGGGUUUUUUCCUUUCUCAGGGGUGUUCUUGUGGGGUUUGGUGCCGGGAUUCAGCCACGAGCCCCCAUCCAAGCCCCGGCCAGAGCCUGGGAACGGGGCUGCUCCGACAAAAAGCCCCAGGGUGGGCGAGAUCCAGGGCUUGGUGGGGAGCUCACCGCAGUGGGGUCGGUCCCUCGGGGUCCCAGGUUGUCCCUUGGUGUCCUGGGCUGUCCCCCAGUGCCCCGGGGACAAGCAGGGUCCGUGCGAGGUGUGGGGACAGCCGCCUGCUUGGGUCUUCACCCACCAGACCAGGGUCGGCAGCGGGAUGAGCGUGGUGUCACAGCAUUGCCAGCACAGAGUGACCCCAAAACCUUGCUCUCCACGUCCCCAAAGGAGCCACGUGGCCGAGGGACCCUCCCCGGGCUGGAGAAGCCCCCCCCGAGGGCUCAGCUGCUGGACACGAGGCCAGGACCUCGGAUGAGGGCUGCUUGCCCAGCGCACAGCGGGGCCAGGGAGGGCCCCGGAGCUGUGGGGGCAAUGCCGGGGGCUGGAGAAGGGCAGGGAGCGGGAUUUGGGGCCGAGCCACCCGGCUCGAGGACACCGAGAACUCCCUCUGCUCCUCCUCCCCUACAACCAGCUCGAAAGGGGAAGAGAAACCGCGGCACCGCGAGCUUCUCCGAGGCUCCCCCACCCCACAGAGCCAGGCAGGACACACAGCGUCCCCUUCCUGGCACCAGGGUCACCCUACAGAGGGCAGGCACCUGAGUAUCGCAGCACCCAGCGCUCCCCC
RNAcentral lists this long non-coding RNA (1028 nucleotides) under Anas platyrhynchos platyrhynchos (common mallard). Its description in RNAcentral is "lncRNA (ENSAPLG00000022807.1)". Lineage: Eukaryota; Metazoa; Chordata; Aves; Anseriformes; Anatidae. The record is from RNAcentral.